Molecule: long non-coding RNA, 532 nt
Organism: Oncorhynchus keta (chum salmon)
Lineage: Eukaryota; Metazoa; Chordata; Actinopteri; Salmoniformes; Salmonidae
Exons: 3
Source: RefSeq, a predicted model, not a curated record
GUCAGGUCAGUAUCACAGAGGACAGACAACAUCGUCAGGUCAGUAUCACAGAGGACAGGUGGCAUCGUCAGGUCAGUACCACAGAGGACAGACAACAUCGUCAGGUCAGUAUCACAGAGGACAGACAACAUUGUCAGGUCAGUACCACAGAGGACAGGUGACAUCGUCAGGUCAGUACCACAGAGGACAGGUGGCAUCGUCAGGUCAGUACCACAGAGGACAGGUGGCAUCGUCAGGUCAGUACCACAGAGGACAGACAACAUCGUCAGGUCAGUACCACAGAGGACAGACAACAUUGUCAGGUCAGUACCACAGAGGACAGGUGGCAUCGUCAGGUCAGUACCACAGAGGACAGGUGGCAUCGUCAGGUCAGUACCACAGAGGACAGACAACAUCGUCAGGUCAGUACCACAGAGGACAGACAACAUUGUCAGGUCAGUACCACAGAGGACAGGUGGCAUCGUCAGGUCAGUACCACAGAGGACAGGUGGCAUCGUCAGGUCAGUACCACAGAGGACAGGUGGCAUCGUCA